AGCGGCGGGGCGAAGGGCUCCUCAAGCGCGGCCAGAGUGGACGCCGAGGCCGAGGAGGCACGGAGAGCGAGCAAGGGCUGCCUGCACGCUGUCACCUCUCAUUAAGGUUUUGGUAUGAAGAUGAUGCUGGUCUCAUAGAUGAUGAUGCUGGUCUCAUAGAAUGAGAUGGAGAGGAGUCCCUAUUCUUCAAUUUUUUGGAAUAGUUUCAGUAGGAUUUGUACCAGCUAUUCUUUCAAUAUCUACUAGAAUUCGGCUGUGAAUCCAUCUAGUCCUUGGCAUUUUUGUUUGACUCCCCGUGGAACAGAGUUGUUGUUCAGCAGAAAUAAUCAAGAGUUGACAUCAUACCAGGUAAAAAAUAGAAGCGGUAAUUUUGAAGGUGCUGUCAGAAGAGUUAUUGAAGUGGUCAUGAACUCUAAAGUUACAGAGGCAAUUAUGUAAAGAUAAAAGAUAAAGACCUCGGGACUCAACAAUAAACCAGACCAGUAUGGCUCUAUCUUCAUGAAGAACAUACACAAUAAUUCAGGACUCACAGAAGUCGAUGAGCAGAACACAGAAGACUCAACCUGAAGAAAUUCCAUAUACGUGCUACUCCUGUAGGCACAAGCAAGAAAAAAUAUUCAAGGAUAAGAGUUUCAUGAGAGUAGAAGUCUUAAUCCAUGAACCUGGAAAAAGAUAUUCACAUCAAGGAUGGCACCCUUCUCCUGGGAGAAACCUCCCUGGGUAAUACUGAUCUCAUAUUGUGAAUUGUUUGAGAUUUGAAGAAUGGAUUAAAGAGAAAAUGAUUGUGCCCGUAGACCAAUGAAGAGACUGUUGCAAUAACUCAGUGCAACUGCCACCAAAAUGUAAAAUUUUCAUAAAAAUCCUUACAGGGAAGACCUGUAAGGUUGAACCCUCCAAUACAAUAGAAAAUGUAAAGGCCAAGAUCUAGCAUGAGGAAGGAAUUCCUCCUGAUCAGCCAAGACCGAUCUUUACUGGUAAGCAACUGGAAGAUGGGGGCACUUUGACUAGGACAUUAAAAAUAAGUCCGCUCUUCAUCUUGUGCUGAGACUUCCUGGUGGUGCCGAGAAAAGGAAGAAGCCUUGUACCACUUCCAAGUAGAAUAAGCAUAAGAGAAAGGUUAGGCUGGCUCUCCUGAAAUAGUAUAAGGUAGAUAAGAAUGGCAAAAUUAAUCACCUUCAAUGCCCUUCAGAUGAAUGCAGUACUGAAGUUUUCAUGGCCAUUCACUUUAAUAGACAUUAUUGUGGCAAAUGUGGCCUGACUUACUGCUUCAGCAAACCAGAAGACAAGUAA
RNAcentral lists this long non-coding RNA (1290 nucleotides) under Homo sapiens (human). RNAcentral's name for it is "PREDICTED lncRNA (TCONS_00078239)". Lineage: Eukaryota; Metazoa; Chordata; Mammalia; Primates; Hominidae. The record is from RNAcentral.